Salmo salar (Atlantic salmon) is the source of this 965-nucleotide long non-coding RNA. RefSeq lists it as uncharacterized. NCBI's taxonomy places the organism in Eukaryota, Metazoa, Chordata, Actinopteri, Salmoniformes, Salmonidae. The record is from RefSeq and is a predicted model, not a curated record.
ACAGAAAAAGGAAUGUGUAGAGAGUCCAACUUUGACCCCUCCCAUUAAACUACAGCAGGUAACUUCGCCAGCUUUAGCACGCCCAGUAAAUACACUUUAUUGUCCCUGUAAAAUGUAUACGUUUUCACGCAUGACAAGUUUUAUAACAUGUUGGCAUGAGCUUUAAUACCUAUUUUAUAUUUCCAUCGUUUCUUCUGGAAAAUAAUGUAUAGAUAAUGCAUUUGGGUUAUGUUCUUCUUUGAGAAGGAUGCAGAAUUCCAUUCAAUUUUGUUAUCUCUCUCUCUCUCGCUCUCUCUCUCUUUGUGUGUGUGUUUGUUCUAUGUAACACACUACCCAGUCACCCUCCAGAAUGAAGCCGAGGGCGGAAGAGGGGGAAGUUAGUUGUGACAGAGGAUGAGGGGGGAGAUGCUAGAAGGCAGAGAUCAAGGCUAGAAGACUUGUCACACCCACCAACCUUGGCCCUGGGACGAUGACGUCGUUUUAAUGUGGUGAUCGUGAUUGAUCCUGAGAGACGACGAGAGAGAGGAUACUAUUCAUCCGGCGGUUGGUUCAGUUGAGCUGAUCCCGUUGGGCGCUUGGCUAUUAGGAAGGAAAAUGGCGGGUCUGUCACAGACGAAUGCAAUGAGACGGCCUAAAGAAUGACAUUUCGUAAGAGCAAAUGCAUGGCAGGUGAUUCAAUAAGGUUGAAAAUUAACUAACCUAACGAAUAGCGAAAUCUUUGAUGACUCUUUUCGAAGUGAUAGUAGCUAAUGGUUAUUUGAAUGGAUUGUAUUGCAUUUUAGGCACCGCUGAAAUAAUUAGAAUGUAUGUGUUAUUGUUAUGUGUUUUGUGAGAACUGAAGGCCUGUUUCAUUUCUCUGAUGUUUUUAACAUUCCUUUAUCUUAUCCAUACAUGUUUUCAGUUGGGAAGGAUAAAUAAACUGUCUAAAUUACGUGUCGUUGUAAUUAAAGGUAGAUUUCUUGAAA